RNAcentral lists this ribosomal RNA (497 nucleotides) under uncultured bacterium. RNAcentral describes it as "partial 16S ribosomal RNA". It matches the Rfam family "Bacterial small subunit ribosomal RNA", at positions 28 to 507 of the family's 1533-position model. The record is from RNAcentral.
GAUGAACGCUGGCGGCGUGCCUAAUACAUGCAAGUCGAGCGAACAGACGAGGAGCUUGCUCCUCUGACGUUAGCGGCGGACGGGUGAGUAACACGUGGAUAACCUACCUAUAAGACUGGGAUAACUUCGGGAAACCGGAGCUAAUACCGGAUAAUAUAUUGAACCGCAUGGUUCAAUAGUGAAAGACGGUUUUGCUGUCACUUAUAGAUGGAUCCGCGCCGCAUUAGCUAGUUGGUAAGGUAACGGCUUACCAAGGCGACGAUGCGCAGCCGACCUGAGAGGGUGAUCGGCCACACUGGAACUGAGACACGGUCCAGACUCCUACGGGAGGCAGCAGUAGGGAAUCUUCCGCAAUGGGCGAAAGCCGGACGGAGCAACGCCGCGUGAGUGAUGAAGGUCUUCGGAUCGUAAAACUCUGUUAUUAGGGAAGAACAAAUGUGUAAGUAACUAUGCACGUCUUGACGGUACCUAAUCAGAAAGCCACGGCUAACUACGUG